Nematostella vectensis (starlet sea anemone) is the source of this 1204-nucleotide RNA transcript. RefSeq lists it as uncharacterized. The transcript has 4 exons. NCBI's taxonomy places the organism in Eukaryota, Metazoa, Cnidaria, Anthozoa, Actiniaria, Edwardsiidae. The record is from RefSeq and is a predicted model, not a curated record.
UGUUUACUAACCAAGGGCCAUAUGUUAGAAAACUGUAUAUUCGGUUAAAUAUGCUACCCUCGAUAAACAAAGAUUAUAAAAGCUUCUUCACAUAAUCACUGCGAAGAACAUCCGGGUACUACCUGUACGUGGUUUGGUCACGUGUGUCUCAGGGUGGAGCUCUAUGGAUGCAUUGCAGAUGCACUAGGCCCCUUGGGCAUGACAAGUUAUGAGAUUCCUGCCAGCGACAUCAAAGUCUCUUCCUACUUGAGAGAUCAUUGUGUGCCGAGCGAUGGCCGCCUUCACGGCAAUUAUCAAAACUAUCAAGCUUGGGUAGCCAAUGGCCAGGUUUCUGUUGAUCUUCAAUUCCUUCAAGUGGAUUUUGGGAGGAACCGUUAUGUUACUGCUAUCGCCACACAAGAACGAUUUCAGAAUAAUCAGUAUGUGACGUCAUACGCUGUGUCGUACAGCACUACAUGUACCACGUGGUCCACCAUCAAGGAAGAAUCGGGGGCAGACAAGAUAUUUCCUGGAAAUGCAGCAAGCGACGAGUCAGUUGUCACUAACAUGUUACCAGAGAUUGUACGAGCCCGCUGUGUUCGUAUAAAUCCGAAACAUUUGCACAACACCUGUCGAUGAGAGCAGAGAUAUACACAUUCGUCAUACAGACUCUGGACCAAUGCAGUAAUUACGUCAAUCUUAACGACGACUCCCGUCUUUCCUCGCGCGUGACGUCGUCCGUCUAUAACGAUAACGCCAACCUAAACGAAUCAAACUGGUAUCUUUUUACCGGUAAAACUGGCUACUACCGGCUUCCUAACAAGGUGGUGUCCAGAGGUCGGUGCGGUGCCACGGCGCAUUGCUGGAUGAACGGGACCCACCCAACCGUACAGGAGGGCGUGGUCAAGAGAUCGGUCUGUUUCCAUGGCAACUCCGGGGUGUGUCAGUUUAGCGUGCCUGUCUAUGUGCGUAACUGUUUUAGUUUCUUUGUUUACAAGCUAAAGAAGCUGGUUGAGUCUUGGGAUGCAAGAUACUGUGCGGACGGUAACUAGGUGAAGGUGGGUUUGUGUAUCUGCCUUGACUUUCCUGUUAUCUUUAAACCUAGACCUGCCCCUUGUCUGAAUGACAAUGGAUAAGGCAACGUACAGCGAAUUAAGUGUAUUUAUUUGUGAGACCUUUUUACGCAGAAGCCUGUUUUUUUUUUAAUAAACGUGUUUCCACUGGU